CUGGGCGUUAAGUUGCAGGGUAUAGACCCGAAACCCGGUGAUCUAGCCAUGGGCAGGUUGAAGGUUGGGUAACACUAACUGGAGGACCGAACCGACUAAUGUUGAAAAAUUAGCGGAUGACUUGUGGCUGGGGGUGAAAGGCCAAUCAAACCGGGAGAUAGCUGGUUCUCCCCGAAAGCUAUUUAGGUAGCGCCUCGUGAAUUCAUCUCCGGGGGUAGAGCACUGUUUCGGCAAGGGGGUCAUCCCGACUUACCAACCCGAUGCAAACUGCGAAUACCGGAGAAUGUUAUCACGGGAGACACACGGCGGGUGCUAACGUCCGUCGUGAAGAGGGAAACAACCCAGACCGCCAGCUAAGGUCCCAAAGUCAUGGUUAAGUGGGAAACGAUGUGGGAAGGCCCAGACAGCCAGGAUGUUGGCUUAGAAGCAGCCAUCAUUUAAAGAAAGCGUAAUAGCUCACUGGUCGAGUCGGCCUGCGCGGAAGAUGUAACGGGGCUAAACCAUGCACCGAAGCUGCGGCAGCGACGCUGAUGCGUUGUUGGGUAGGGGAGCGUUCUGUAAGCCUGUGAAGGUGUGCUGUGAGGCAUGCUGGAGGUAUCAGAAGUGCGAAUGCUGACAUAAGUAACGAUAAAGCGGGUGAAAAGCCCGCUCGCCGGAAGACCAAGGGUUCCUGUCCAACGUUAAUCGGGGCAGGGUGAGUCGACCCCUAAGGCGAGGCCGAAAGGCGUAGUCGAUGGGAAACAGGUUAAUAUUCCUGUACUUGGUGUUACUGCGAAGGGGGGACGGAGAAGGCUAUGUUGGCCGG
This 805-nucleotide ribosomal RNA is filed under the name Escherichia coli. RNAcentral describes it as "partial 23S ribosomal RNA". It matches the Rfam family "Bacterial large subunit ribosomal RNA", at positions 688 to 1494 of the family's 2925-position model. The record is from RNAcentral. Lineage: Bacteria; Pseudomonadati; Pseudomonadota; Gammaproteobacteria; Enterobacterales; Enterobacteriaceae.